CCUACGAGAGGCAGCAGUGAGGAAUAUUGGUCAAUGGGCGGGAGCCUGAACCAGCCAAGUCGCGUGAGGGAAGACGGUCCUAUGGAUUGUAAACCUCUUUAGGCGGGGAGCAAUGCCGGGCACGUGUGCCCGGAGGGAGAGUACCCGCAGAAAAAGCAUCGGCUAACUCCGUGCCAGCAGCCGCGGUAAUACGGAGGAUGCGAGCGUUAUCCGGAUUUAUUGGGUUUAAAGGGUGCGUAGAUGGCAUAGUAAGUCUUUUGUAAAAAUGCUGGGCUCAACCCAGUAGGGCAAAAGAUACUGCAAAGCUUGAGUAUGACAGAGGCAAGUGGAACUACAGGUGUAGCGGUAAAAUGCAUAAAUAUAUGUAAGAACACCAGUGGCGAAGGCGGCUUGAUGGGUCGAUACUGACAUUGAGGCACGAAAGCGUGGGGAGCGAACAGGAUUAGAUACCCCAGUAGUC
RNAcentral lists this ribosomal RNA (460 nucleotides) under uncultured bacterium. RNAcentral's name for it is "partial 16S ribosomal RNA". It matches the Rfam family "Bacterial small subunit ribosomal RNA", at positions 338 to 795 of the family's 1533-position model. The record is from RNAcentral.